UACGGAAGGCAGCAGUGGGGAAUAUUACACAAUGGGCGCAAGCCUGAUGCAGCCAUGCCGCGUGUAUGAAGAAGGCCUUCGGGUUGUAAAGUACUUUCAGUCGUGAGGAAGGUGUUAAGGUUAAUAACCUUAGCAAUUGACGUUAGCGACAGAAGAAGCACCGGCUAACUCCGUGCCAGCAGCCGCGGUAAUACGGAGGGUGCGAGCGUUAAUCGGAAUUACUGGGCGUAAAGGGCACGCAGGCGGUUAAUUAAGUUGGAUGUGAAAUCCCCGGGCUUAACCUGGGAAUGGCAUUCAAGACUGGUUAGCUAGAGUCUUGUAGAGGGGGUUAGAAUUCCAUGUGUAGCGGUGAAAUGCGUAGAGAUGUGGAGGAAUACCGGUGGCGAAGGCGGCCCCUGGACAAAGACUGACGCUCAUGUGCGAAAGCGUGGGGAGCAAACAGGGAUUAGAUACC
Molecule: ribosomal RNA, 454 nt
Filed under: uncultured bacterium
Lineage: Bacteria
Description: bacterial SSU rRNA
Rfam family: Bacterial small subunit ribosomal RNA
Source: RNAcentral